RNAcentral lists this ribosomal RNA (1893 nucleotides) under Heterocephalobellus sp. JB-8. Its description in RNAcentral is "eukaryotic LSU rRNA". It matches the Rfam family "Eukaryotic large subunit ribosomal RNA", at positions 1061 to 2878 of the family's 3401-position model. Lineage: Eukaryota; Metazoa; Nematoda; Chromadorea; Rhabditida; Cephalobidae. The record is from RNAcentral.
AACUCUCAAUGGGUAUGAUGUCUUGGUUGCUUGAUUGAACUAGGACGUUGAAUAURGGCUCCAAGUGGGCCAUUUUUGGUAAGCAGAACUGGCGCUGUGGGAUGAACCAAACGUGGAGUUAAGGUGCCAAACUUCCCGCUCAUUAGACCCCAUAAAAGGUGUUGGUUGAUAUUGACAGCAGGACGGUGGCCAUGGAAGUCGGAAUCCGCUAAGGAGUGUGUAACAACUCACCUGCCGAAUCAACUAGCCCUGAAAAUGGAUGGCGCUAGAGCGGGAGACCUAUACUCCACCGUUACGGCUYGAGAGUCCGCUYKGCGGAUCUCCUGGCCGUAACGAGUAGGAGGGUUAUAGCGGUUAGCGUCGAAGGCUUUGGGCGUGAGCCCGGCUGGAGCUUCCGUUAGUGCAGAUCUUGGUGGUAGUAGCAAAUAUUCAAGUGAGAUCCUUGAAGACUGAAGUGGAGAAGGGUUCCACGUGAACAGCAGUUGAAUGUGGGUCAGUCGGUCCUAAGUCAUCGGCUAAUGCCGUAGUAAACGAGAGUCGGAGCUUCUGGUUCUGCUCGGUUGACGAAAGGGAAGCGGGUUAAUAUUCCCGCACCAGGACACGGAGAUGGUCGGGCGCCUCGCGCGCUCGACCAAGGGCGGCAACGCAAACGAAGUUGCAGACGUCGCACGAAGUCCGAGCCAGAGUUCUCUUUUCUGGUUGAGGAGUCCCAUCCAUGGAAAGGGUUCAGCCCGAGAUAUGGACAACGGCUCCGUAAAGCACCGCGGUUCCUGUGGUGUCUCGUGCGCUUCGUGUGGCCCUUGAAAAUGCAACGGAGCCUUAGUGAAUUUCGUGCCUGGCCGUACCGAUAUCCGCAGCAGGUCUCCAAGGUGAACAGCCUCUAGUCGAUAGAAUAAUGUAGGUAAGGGAAGUCGGCAAAUUAGAUCCGUAACUUUGGGAAAAGGAUUGGCUCUAAGGGUUGGGCCGGUCGGGCUGUUGCGCGAAACUCGUUGGCUUUGCCCAUGGCUGCGGGAGGCCUCGGCCGAACGCGGACUAGCCGGUAAGGCCGGCUUGUGGAGCGCUUCAGCUGCGUGCGCGUUUCGGCGCGCACUUCGGCCGGCAAUAAACAACCGACUUAGAACUGGCACGGACUCGGGGAAUCCGACUGUCUAAUUAAAACAGAGGAGACGGAUGGUCCUUGCGGACGUUGACCGUCUCUGAUUUCUGCCCAGUGCUCUGAAUGUUAACUUAAGGAAACUUAAUUAAGCGCGGGUAAACGGCGGGAGUAACUAUGACUCUCUUAAGGUAGCCAAAUGCCUCGUCGGCUAACUACCGACGCGCACGAAUGGAUUAACGAGACUCCCACUGUCCCUAUCUACUAUCUAGCGAAACCACAGCCAAGGGAACGGGCUUGGCAAAUACAGCGGGGAAAGAAGACCCUGUUGAGCUUGACUCUAGUCUGACUCUGUGAAGAAUCAUGAGAGGUGUAGCAUAAGUGGGAGCCGCAAGGCGCCAGUGAAAUACCACUACUUUCAUCGAUUCCUUACUUAUUCGGUAAGACGGGAAUUGGACUUCAAUGUUCUUGAUUUUGGUGUUAAGGGCGGCCGCUUGGCGGCCGCUCGACCCGCGCCGACGACCGUGUCAGGCGGGGAGUUUGACUGGGGCGGUACAUCUGUCAAAUCGUAACGCAGGUGUCCUAAGGCGAGCUCAGAGAGGACGGAAACCUCUCGUAGAGUAAAAGGGCAAAAGCUCACUUGAUCUUGAUUUUCAGUACGAAUACAGACCGCGAAAGCGUGGCCUAUCGAUCCUUUUGAAUUCUAGAGAGUUUCUAGCAAGAGGUGUCAGAAAAGUUACCACAGGGAUAACUGGCUUGUGGCAGCCAAGCGUCCAUAGCGACGUUGCUUUUUGAUCCUU